RNAcentral lists this ribosomal RNA (483 nucleotides) under Triticum aestivum (bread wheat). RNAcentral's name for it is "partial small subunit ribosomal RNA". Lineage: Eukaryota; Viridiplantae; Streptophyta; Magnoliopsida; Poales; Poaceae. The record is from RNAcentral.
AUGGCUCAGCUCAUUCACCACUUUUGUUCUAUUUCGGGUCAAACUCCAAACUGGGCCAAAUAUGCCAUUCUUUUUAGUUCUCGAGUUAGCCAACCUACAAUGCAGGAGAUUAAGCAAGUUUUUCCUGUUUCCUCCUUGGAUAGAAAUUUCACCCAUCUUGGUCAUCCGCUUAUUCUUCCUGCUAAAAAUAGAACUACCUCCUAUAACUUUGUUCUUGAUAAAUUUAUGAAUAAACUGCCUUCUUACAAAGCCAAUAUGCUUUCUCAUGCUGUGAGGCUUAAAUUGGUUUGCUCUAUUUCUUUGUUGUUCAUGUUUAUUAUAUGGCUAACAUCUUGUUCACAAAAAAGUUUAUUGCAAAGCUCGCUGCUGUCAUUAGAAAUUUCUGGUGGACAGGUGUUAGGGAGAAUGAUUCUACAAGGAGUCUUUGUCUUCGUGCAUGGAAAGACAUAUGCAAUUCUAAAGAAGAAGAUGGACUGGGCAUAA